RNAcentral lists this ribosomal RNA (486 nucleotides) under uncultured bacterium. RNAcentral describes it as "bacterial SSU rRNA". It matches the Rfam family "Bacterial small subunit ribosomal RNA", at positions 1 to 480 of the family's 1533-position model. The record is from RNAcentral.
AAUUCGCCCUUAGAGUUUGAUCAUGGCUCAGAUUGAACGCUGGCGGCAUGCCUUACACAUGCAAGUCGAACGGUAACAGGUCUUCGGACGCUGACGAGUGGCGAACGGGUGAGUAAUACAUCGGAACGUGCCCAGUCGUGGGGGAUAACUACUCGAAAGAGUAGCUAAUACCGCAUACGAUCUGAGGAUGAAAGCGGGGGACCUUCGGGCCUCGCGCGAUUGGAGCGGCCGAUGGCAGAUUAGGUAGUUGGUGGGAUAAAAGCUUACCAAGCCGACGAUCUGUAGCUGGUCUGAGAGGACGACCAGCCACACUGGGACUGAGACACGGCCCAGACUCCUACGGGAGGCAGCAGUGGGGAAUUUUGGACAAUGGGCGAAAGCCUGAUCCAGCAAUGCCGCGUGCAGGAUGAAGGCCUUCGGGUUGUAAACUGCUUUUGUACGGAACGAAAAAGCUUCUCCUAAUACGAGAGGCCCAUGACGGUACCG